UACGGAGGGUGCAAGCGUUAAUCGGAAUUACUGGGCGUAAAGCGUGCGCAGGCGGUUUGUUAAGUCCGCGGUGAAAUCCCCGAGCUCAACCUGGGAAUUGCAGUGGAUACUGGCAAGCUGGAGUAUGGUAGAGGAAGGUGGAAUUCCCGGUGUAGCAGUGAAAUGCGUAGAGAUCGGGAGGAACACCAGUGGCGAAGGCAGCCUUCUGGACCAAUACUGACGCUCAGGCACGAAAGCGUGGGGAGCAAACAGG
This 253-nucleotide ribosomal RNA is filed under the name uncultured bacterium. RNAcentral's name for it is "partial 16S ribosomal RNA". It matches the Rfam family "Bacterial small subunit ribosomal RNA", at positions 524 to 776 of the family's 1533-position model. The record is from RNAcentral.